UUAUGUGUAACAGGGUCCCAGUU
RNAcentral lists this non-coding RNA (23 nucleotides) under Rattus norvegicus (Norway rat). Lineage: Eukaryota; Metazoa; Chordata; Mammalia; Rodentia; Muridae. The record is from RNAcentral.